This 2966-nucleotide long non-coding RNA is filed under the name Solanum lycopersicum (tomato). Its description in RNAcentral is "long non-coding RNA (SLYC_LNC000619)". The record is from RNAcentral. Lineage: Eukaryota; Viridiplantae; Streptophyta; Magnoliopsida; Solanales; Solanaceae.
AAAAAUUCAAUUUUAAAUAUUACUAAUUAAUUAAUCAAUAUGUACAUCAUAAUCAAACCUAAAAGGACAUAUUAGUAUUAAAAAUAACACAAUAUUUCAAUACAAAAAUAUAUCAUAAAGUGUAUUAUAAUUUUACAAAGUAAAUUGAAAUGUCAUUCACUUCAACCACUACGAUUUACAAGAAACUUCAAAUCUUGCUUAAACUUCAAAUCACUACAAAAACUUGCUUAAACUUCAAAUCACUAGCAUCCAAACUCAAGAUAGGAUCUGCAACGUUAUCAUGAAACUUUAGCGGGUUUCAUCAUGGUAUCACCUGGCUGCAAAGUGAAAUACACAAUAAGUAACUUCCAUCCAAACUCAAAACAUGGAUGAAUAUAGCAUACUUGAUGAGUUUAGUACUACCCAGCUAGUCAAGUUAGAUGGUAGAAUAAGACAAGUUAGUUGACAAGAAUAUAUUACAACAAUAACAACAUAAUACACAGUGAAAUUUCACAAGCGUUUUUGGGGAAGGUAGAAUAUACGCACAAGUAAUGAAUUAUCCCCACUUACACAUGUCAGAGAGCAAAAGGAAAACAAUUACGAUUGUUUAUGUCCAGCCAAAUAAUACAACUUACAGGGUUAAUACAUCAUUAGCUACCUUUUGGUGCAACUCAAACCAAUUGGGUCUGCGAUGGCCACAGGCCACUACUCCCCUGUACUAAUUUUAGUUUCUAAUGAAAUGCUUCAUCUUUCUUUACCAAAAAAAAAAAUAACAACAAAUGGACAUUUAACUUUCAUUCCAUCUUCACUAACUAUCUAAAGGACAAAAUCAAAUAAAUAAUAAAUACAAUAAACUCAUAAGAUUUGUAGAGCGCAGCAGAACGAGUUGUGCAUGACUGCUUAUAAGAACUUUUAUCUUCUUCAAUAAUGCAACCAUAAAUAUUGACACUAUAGCAAGAAAAUAUUGACACUAAAGCAAGAAAAUAUUCACAAAUAUUUCCAUCUUUAAGAAACUGAAGUUCUCCAAGGUGUACAUUCUCUUACCCAAUGGCAGUGUGUGUAUUCUAUAAAGGAAUUUUGCGCACUCCAUGUCUAUUUUAGCUGAAUUAUGUCGACAAGAAUGUCACUGUUAACUCAUGCAGUAACAGAAACUGUUAAUCCUCCGGCUAAUAAUAAGUUUUCACUAUCAACUUCAAAGUAAGAAGACAUUAAGAUUAAUGUCAGAAAGUAGUCGAAAUCACAAGCUAAAGACAAUAGUUAUUACAUCUACAAGUUAUACUGCAUUGUACAACUCACUCUCAUGGAAUGCAGAUUAUUUGAAUUUUGCUCCAUGGCCUAUAAAGAAAUAUUCUUCGUGCUAAGUAAAAAAUGACAAACUCAUUGCACCCGUGCUCAGCACAUGCAUAUUCCCCGAUAUGUUGUUGGUCUUUUUAAACAAUGGUGCAGCAAAAGAAGGCUCUUAUUGAAUUUAUUAAGUAUAGAAGAGCUUUAAAUAGUCAACUUGAUAACAUAACCAAAUGAUAAGGCGUUAAAAAACAAGAAGAGUGAACUCACUGGUAAGUGGUAACAGGAAGUGAAGUCUAGUCUUGACGCUAUCAGAUUCUCGUACUCAAACUCAGUUACAAGCUAAAUUGCAGCAGUAAGCUAACAGUAGAGCUUGUAGAAAUGGUAUACUCCACUUGCCAUUGAAGCUGCAUUAUCCCAAAUGAAAGCUUGUAACUACAUGAGAAAAGAAAAAAGUAGUCUUAAAAAAUAAGGAAAAUUGUUACUGCAACAUUUAUCAUACUAAUUAUAUCUGUCAGAAAGAGUGAAAACAACAAAAUUCUUAUGUUCGAUCACAAUGAAGAAGUACCAUUAAUUCUGUUUGAGAGUCGAAAUUCACGUACAUUAAUAUGAUUUUAAUUAAUAUUAAUAGUUCUUUUCCUUCCCAUAAUCCCUUUAGAUAAAACUAAACAUAGUUUAUUUCCAUAUCUAACUCAACAAACAAUGUAAACAUAUCAACAGUUGAAUAUUAUCGAAACAAUGAAAACUUCAUCAUACAACUUUAUCACUUCUUACACAGAGAACUAUGAACAUAUCGUCGUACUUGUCAAUCCUUAGUGUUUUUUUUAGAUUUUGCUUGACUUGUGAUUACUACCUGCAUUGUCAACAUGCUUUGAACUAAUUCUAUACACGACUAAAAUUACUAUCUUAAUACAAUAGAAGUUAUAUAACUAAUUUAGGUAUGCUAAUGUUUUCACUUUUCUCCAGUGAGAUUAUUCUUUAACCUUUUAGGAUAUCAACUAUUGUUAUGAAUUGAAUGUAUUCAUCAAUUUGAAAUUCCAAAAAAGCAUAAACUAAACUAGAAUCAAGCGAUCAAGCAUAACUUGAAAUACAUGAGAUCACAUUGCUACUAGAGUAAAAUUAGGGCAACUCACUUUAUGACUUAACUUUCAAGAAUUCUAAACAUCGAACCCCAAAAAUUUGGACGAUUUGAAAAGCAAAUUAAAAUUUCGAAAGCAAAUUCAAACGAUGAGGGGGAAAAUACCUUAGAUUCAGCGAUUAACAGCACCAAAAAAAUCAAAAUUAGCAAUUUUUGCUUAUAACCAAACUUGAAAAAAAUCAGCUUCUUCAACCAUUGAUUAUUCUUAUCUACUAAACAAAAGUUGCAAAACUCAGCAAUCAACCAACAAUUUUCUGGUAAGAACUAAUACAUGUUGAAUAAAUUUGAAAUUGAAAGAAAUUUGAGAGCGAGAGAAGAGUGAGCGACCGGUGAGAGGAUGAGAAAAGACUAGAUUUUUCUCCUGAGUCUAAAACGGUUCUGCGAUUUUUUGGGGAAAAAAUGAAACUAGAGCUAAAAGGAAACAAGAUUGAACUUUAAGCAUUAUCUUAAGGAAUAAAUAUCUAGGGGUUAUAACCCUCAAUGUACUGAAGAAAUAAAAGGGGUUGAGAUAACCCCCACAAUUAAUAUAUUUUUACGGAGGUUAUUGCAACCCCCUUAAUUAAAC